Molecule: ribosomal RNA, 468 nt
Filed under: uncultured bacterium
Lineage: Bacteria
Description: partial 16S ribosomal RNA
Rfam family: Bacterial small subunit ribosomal RNA
Source: RNAcentral
GACGAACGCUGGCGGCGCGCUUAACACAUGCAAGUCGAACGGAAAGGCCCUGCUUUUGUGGGGUGCUCGAGUGGCGAACGGGUGAGUAACACGUGAGUAACCUGCCCUUGACUUUGGGAUAACUUCAGGAAACUGGGGCUAAUACCGGAUAGGAGCUCCUGCUGCAUGGUGGGGGUUGGAAAGUUUCGGCGGUUGGGGAUGGACUCGCGGCUUAUCAGCUUGUUGGUGGGGUAGUGGCUUACCAAGGCUUUGACGGGUGGCCGGCCUGAGAGGGUGACCGGCCACAUUGGGACUGAGAUACGGCCCAGACUCCUACGGGAGGCAGCAGUGGGGAAUAUUGCACAAUGGGCGGAAGCCUGAUGCAGCAACGCCGCGUGCGGGAUGACGGCCUUCGGGUUGUAAACCGCUUUCGCCUGUGACGAAGCGUGAGUGACGGUAAUGGGUAAAGAAGCACCGGCUAACUACGUG